AUUCCAGCUCCAAUAGCGUAUACUAAAGUUGUUGCAGUUAAAAAGCUCGUAGUUGAAUUUCUGGUCGUGAAAAGUGGUCCGUUCCGCAAGGAAUGUGUACUGUCUAUUCAUGUCCAUCCUCGGAGUUAGUGUGUAUUACUUUAAUCGGUCGUGCAUGCAAUACUUCGUCAUUUACUGUGAGCAAAAUAGAGUGUUCAAAGCAGGCUUAUGCCGUUGAAUAUAUUAGCAUGGAAUAAUAAGAUAUGACUUUGGUCUUAUUUUGUUGGUUUCUAAGGCCGAGGUAAUGAUUUAUAGGGAUAGUUGGGGGCGUUUAUAUUCCGUUGUCAGAGGUGAAAUUCUUGGAUUUACGGAAGAUAAACUACUGCGAAAGCAUUCGCCAAGGAUGUUUUCAUCA
This 394-nucleotide ribosomal RNA is filed under the name Chrysophyceae sp. RNAcentral describes it as "partial small subunit ribosomal RNA". It matches the Rfam family "Eukaryotic small subunit ribosomal RNA", at positions 582 to 975 of the family's 1831-position model. Lineage: Eukaryota; Chrysophyceae. The record is from RNAcentral.